Molecule: long non-coding RNA, 754 nt
Filed under: Pogona vitticeps (central bearded dragon)
Lineage: Eukaryota; Metazoa; Chordata; Lepidosauria; Squamata; Agamidae
Description: lncRNA (ENSPVIG00000023045.1)
Source: RNAcentral
CUACUGCUCCACUUAAAGGAAGUUAAAACUGUGGAAGUAUUUUGGGGGUGAAGGUUAAAAUAUCUGUAAACCAAUUCAAUAGGAAUUACAAACGGAAGAAAUCAGUACAGUCAAAGGUUCCCUGCUUGUCAAAUAUGAUAUAACGUUUGUGUCGUGGUCCAAGAGCAGUCUCAGCACUGCUUUCCUUCAGUGUUUUGGAAAAUGCAAACAGACAUGUUAAGGCUGUGUUUCCAAGCCAAUUGUAUUCCCAAAGGAAGGCUCUGAGUAAGUGCUAGACAAGCUCGCCUGUUCCAGGACUGGCAGGAGGUUGCUGAAUCAUCCUGAGGCUGAAGAAAUCAGAGGGUAACUCAUGAUAAAAAUUCUGGAUGCUGGAUACAAUGAGAAGUGGCUUGAUUUUCCCCUCAAUGUGGAUAGAAUUCACAAAACUUGUUCCUGGAAUGGCUUCUUGGAAUAGCUAUGAACUCUCUUUCAAAAACACUUCCUUGUUUUGCUUACCCUUUCAACCUCCAGGUAGGGUGUUUUUGCUGCCUGAUUUCAUGCUUCUCUCCCUUUUCUUCCUCCCUCUCCUUGAACAAACUGGAUCACACAAUCAGCCGUGGAGUUGACAAGUUCCUCAAGUCCCCACUACCCAGGCUUUGUCGUGAUACAGGGCUCACAUGAUGCUUUCCCCAUGCCAUUCUCUCUUUUUUACCCCACUCUCUAGCACCUAUCCUUCCAUGGGAGAAGGGAUUAACAGGCAGCAGAUGCCUUCCAU